This is a long non-coding RNA of Homo sapiens (human), 3131 nucleotides long. RefSeq lists it as uncharacterized. The transcript is spliced from 2 exons. NCBI's taxonomy places the organism in Eukaryota, Metazoa, Chordata, Mammalia, Primates, Hominidae. The record is from RefSeq and is a predicted model, not a curated record.
UUUCAGGUCCCCACCUUCUCCCCAGGUCUCAUGCACUCGAUCUCUCUCACUCCUUUCUGCUUUACAGACCCACAGCCAGGUCCUGCCAAUCACUCCCCUCCUUGUUGGAAGUCAGCUACAGGUGAACCAGCAGGGAGAGGCCACUGCCUGCUCACAAUCAGCUCAUUAUCUAAUUGAGGAAAAAGGCACAAGCUCACUCAAAAGCAAAAUCCAAAGGACCAACAGGAGUUGGGGGCUUCAGGCUUUUUCUUCCCAUUCAGGAUAGGGUCAAUGUCACUUCAAAAGGUAUAAUUACAAAAGGCUAGAGACCACGCCUUCAGCUUUAAGAGAAUAGCAGUACCUUCCAUCCUCCAGAAAGCUUUUGGACUUGUGGACUAUCCCUAUUUAAGACGGCUCAUUGCAUCAAGGAAACACAGUUUCAUUCAAUAAACAUCAGUCAUUUCCUUCAAAUUCCCACCGGAAAGCUACUGACAUUGUAAACCUUUAGGAUUUGAAAGACGCUAAAGUUUAAAGUCGAAUCAUAAAUACUGUUCCAAUCCAAUCACUCAGGCCCAGAGCUGGUGGGAGUUCUGGAUUGCAUUUCCGGCUUCACCAGUAUCUCUGUAACUUAGCAGCAAGCUACACCUCCACCAGCCUCGGCUUCCUCUUAGGAGAAAUGAGAAAACUGGACCCAAUCAGUGUUUCCCAAAAGCAUGGUGGGCGUCCAAUGCAAGAUGUCACAGUGCAAGAGAGGACUCUGUGUGCAUGCCAAUUAACAUGUUUUAGUUAUUAGUUUACUCUGUCUGGUGAGUAAUGUUAGUUUUCCUAAUAAAUAAGAUUUCCUUUUAAAAUAAAUGCAUCCAAAUAUUUUUAAAAAUGAGUCACUUUCACAAAAACCUAUUUAGUAAAUAAGAGUUCAGGUGAUUCUAGCAGCCGUGGCAAAAAUAACUGAUCUAGAGGCCUGGCGUGGCGUGAAAUCCCUGAGUACAGGGGGAGGAAGAGAGCGAAGGCGGCUGGAGUUCCUCGCAAAGAAGCAAGCCCCGGGCACCAGGGUCCGCAGUGACCAGCCGCCGGUCCUCCACGCUUCCAGAGGAGACGAUUUGGAACUGACCCGGGAGGGCCAAGAAACACCUUCCGAGUACCAGGCUAAACCCCGCCAGGGAGAGAGACCGGGACGAAGGUCCCAGGCUAGUGCGACACCGCAGGCAUUGAUUCCUAAUAAACACCCUCUGAGCCAACCUCUAUCACCGUAUCUGCUGCUGGAGAAUGCAACCUGAGACAAGUAAAAGCCUCAUUGUAAAGUUACAUUUUGAGCCAAGAAGGAGAGGAGGGAGUAAGCCAUGUGGAAAUGUGGGCCAAAUACUUUUCUGGAAAAGAAAAGAGCACGUGUUAAGGCAUUGAGGUGAGCACAUGCCAGGGGUUUUGUAGAGACAGCCAGGCACCCCGUGAGGCUGGAGCAGAGUGAGUGAGGGAGUGCUCAGAGAAAAACAGCACAGACAGGUCACCAGACAGACCAUGUUGAGCCCAGAGACCAUUGAUAAGGGCUUUGGUUUUUACUUCAAAUGAGAUAGGAAGCCAUUGGAGAGUUUCGAACAGAAGGCUGGUUUAAUCUGCCUUCAAGUUUUUAAAUUUGUAUUCAUUUAUUUUUCGAGACGAAGUCUCACUCUGUCGUCCAGGCUGGAGUGCAGUGGUGCGAUCCUGGCUCACUGCAACCUCCACCUCCUGGGUUCAAGUGAUUCUCGUGCCUCAGCUUCUCAAGUAGCUGGGACUACAGGCACGUGCCACCACACCCAGCUAAUUUUUGUACUUUUAGUAGAGAGGGUGUCACCAUGUUGGCCAAGCUGGUUUCGAACUCCCAACCCCAGGUGAUCCACCCACUUUGGCCUCCCAAAGUGCUGGGAUUAUUAUAGGCAUGAGCCACUGCGCCUGGGCUAAUCUGCCUUCAAUUUUAAAAGGCAAGAAUAGAAGCAAGGUGUCAGUCAGGAAGUUAUUUGAGAAAUUAACAGGGUAAUUGAGAAAUGAUGUGGCUUUCUAAGGGUGCUGGUGGUGAGAGGACAUCAGAUUCUAGACUUAUGUAGAAGGUAGUACCAGUGAAAUUUGUUGAAUAUUGAAUAUGAGAUAGUUAAGAAUGAUACCAAGAUUUGUGGGCUGAGCAACUGGAAAAGUGGAGCUGCCAGUUACUGAUCUGUGGAAAAUGUAGGAGGAGCAGGUUUGGAAGGGAAGAAGGAGAAUUCAGUUUUGGACAUAGGAAGCUUGAGACGAGUAUUAGGUCUCCAAGUGAAGGGGCUGAGUAGGCAGUUGAAUACAGGAGGUUUUUGUUUGUUUGUUUGUUUGUUUUUGUUUUUUUUGUUUUUUUUUUGAGAUGGAGUCUUGCUCUGUUGCCCAGGCUGGAGUGCAGUGGUGCGAUCUUGGCUCACUGCAACCUCCACCUCCUUGGUUGAAGCAAUUAUCCUGUCUCAGCCUCCCCAGCAGCCGGGAUUACAGGCGUGUGCCACUAUGCCUGACUAAUUUUUGUAUUUUUAGUAGAGACGGGGUUUUGCCAUGUUGGCCAGGCUGGUUUCGAACUCCUGACCUCAGGUGAUCCACCUGCCUCAGCCUCCCAAGGUGCUGGGAUUACAGGCGUGAGCCACCAUGACCAGCCUGAAUAUAGGAGUUUUGUAUAUGCUACUGAAUAGUAGAGAGGUCUGGACUGCAGCCAUUACUCUGGGAGUUAAAUGCACAGUGAUGGAACCUGCUGUGCCACCCUCUGCAGGGUCAGCAGAUGCUCACUGGGUGGUGGUAGAGUUCAGGAGCCAAGUUUAUGCUUGAUCUUAAGGCAGCAGGAUGGUCAAAACUAAGUGAGAGAAAGGCCCUCUACAAAUACUUGUUCAAAAAUUUUAAUCAGGGAUUCGCCUGUUAAACUAAAUUAAAAUGGAAACCAGGGCUGAAGACUCCCCGAAGAGACAAAGCCAGUCAGUCCUCCUAAGUGAUCUUAACCUUGCUUGAUUUGCAAACAUAAGUGAAACUUAACUUGAACUAUUUCUUGUAAAUGCCUGUAUUAAAGAAAAACAAAACUUAAGCUCAACCAUUCAGAAGCAGUCAACAGACUUACAAUUAAAUAACUAGGGAUUUUCCCACAGGAUAGACCAAAUAAAGCCACUUUAUAACUGUAA